GGGCGCACGCGCGCUACACUGACGGAGACAACGAGUAUUCACCUUGGCCGUAAGGUCUGGGUAAUCUUUUGAAACUCUGUCGUGAUGGGGAUUGUCCAUUGCAAUUAUUGGACAUGAACGAGGAAUUCCUAGUAAGUGCAAGUCAUCAGCUUGCGUUGAUUACGUCCCUGCCCUUUGUACACACCGCCCGUCGCUACUACCGAUUGAAUGGCUUAGUGAGACCUCCGGAUUGAGUUGUAGGGGCUUCGCGGCCCUCACUUUUCGAGAAGUUGGUCAAACUUGGUCAUUUAGAGGAAGUAAAAGUCGUAACAAGGUAACCGUAGGUGAACCUGCGGUUGGAUCAUUACAAAACUGUGAUUGUGGUUCUCUGCUUUGGAGACCACGAAUCCAAACACCGUGUGAAUUGUAUUUGUACUUGGCAAGUUAUGCAUGCUUAUUUGCUGGAUUCGGCUAUGAGUCUAAGCGGGAGUAUAAGCCUGUGCAGAGUUUCAAUAUGGCGCGAGCUCGCCUUGUUGAAAGCUUGCCACUGAUUUUAACCAUUGUCUUUUAUUGCGUCUGACCAAUUGAAAUACAACGAAAUUUUGUUAAACAACUUUUGGCAACGGAUCUCUUGGCUCUCGCAACGAUGAAGAACGCAGCGAAAUGCGAUACGUAUCAUGAAUUGCAGAACUCUGAAUGAUAAAUGUUUGAACGCAUAUUGCGCCAGCUUCUGGUUGGCAUGUCUGUCUGAGAAUCUUAAAGUUUCUCUCCAAACAAACGUGUUUUGGUUGGGGGCUAUUGACGGUUUCCAUUUGUAAUGGACUGUUGAAAAGGAGAAACUACUUUCCAUCCUAGUGUUUUAUAGGAGGUAAAGGUGCUUUUGACAAACUCAAAGACACGUGCCACCUUAUUACAAAACACAGAACACAACUUGGUCUCAGAUCAGACAGGAGGACCCGCUGAACUUAAGCAUAUCAAUAAGCGGAGGAAAAGAAACUAACAAGGAUUCCCUCAGUAACGGCGAGUGAAGUGGGAAUAGCUCAAAUUUUAAAUCUGCCCUCUGGGGUCGAAUUGUAGUUUCGAGAAGUGUUUUCGGAUCUGGGGCAGGUCAAAGUCCUCAGGAUUUGGGCAUCACAGAGGGUGACAAUCCCGUGAAUGGCCUACUGCCGGGUCCAUGUGAUACACUUUCAAAGAGUCAGGUUGUUUGGGAAUGCAGCCUAAAAUGGGUGGUAAAUACCAUCUAAAGCUAAAUAAUGGCGAGAGACCGAUAGCGAACAAGUACCGUGAGGGAAAGAUGAAAAGAACUUUGAAAAGAGAGUUAAAAAGUGCUUGAAAUUGUCAAAAGGGAAGCGCUCAACGCCAGUGAUGACGGCUGGAAUCAGCAGUUCUUUGAAUUGUGCACUUCCAGCCUUCAAGUCAACAUCAGUUUGGUUUGCGGGAUAAGGACCAAGGGAGGCACCUAGUGCAAUCUUGGCUGAUACCGUGGGCUAGACUGAGGUCUGCUUAUAGGAUGUUGACGAAAUGGUUUUGAACGUCCCGUCUUGAAACACGGACCAAGGAGUCUAACACAUACGCGAGUGUUUGGGUGUCAAACCCUUACGCGGAAUGAAAGUGAAUUGUGAGAUAUUUGCAUCACAAACCGGUCUGGAUUUUCUUGAUAGAUCUGAGUAAGAGCGUAUUUGUUGGGACCCGAAAGAUGGUGAACUAUGCCUGAAUAGGUUCAAGUAAGGCGAAAGUCUUAUGGAGGACCGCAGCGAUUCUGACGUGCAAAUCGAUCGUCAAAUUUGGGUAUAGGGGCGAAAGACUAAUCGAACC
This 1794-nucleotide ribosomal RNA is filed under the name uncultured fungus. Its description in RNAcentral is "bacterial SSU rRNA". The stretch from base 912 to 1794 matches the Rfam family "Eukaryotic large subunit ribosomal RNA", at positions 1 to 941 of the family's 3401-position model. Lineage: Eukaryota; Fungi. The record is from RNAcentral.